This 668-nucleotide ribosomal RNA is filed under the name uncultured bacterium. RNAcentral's name for it is "bacterial SSU rRNA". It matches the Rfam family "Bacterial small subunit ribosomal RNA", at positions 301 to 980 of the family's 1533-position model. The record is from RNAcentral.
UGAUUCGCCACACUGGACUGAGACUCGCCAGAUCCUACGGAGGCAGGCAGUGGGAUUUGACAAUGGGCGCAAGCCUGAUCAGCAUGCGCGUGGAGUGAAGAAGCUCGGUGUAAGCUCUUUCGGCCGGGAGAAAUCGUGUCUCUACAUAGGCCCAUGGAUGACGGUACCGGACUAGAAGCACGGCUAACUACGUGCCAGCAGCCGCGGUAAUACGUAGGGUGCGAGCGUUAAUCGGAAUUACUGGGCGUAAAGCGUGCGCAGGCGGUUUUGUAAGACAGAUGUGAAAUCCCCGGGCUUAACCUGGGAACUGCGUUUGUGACUGCAAGGCUAGAGUACGGCAGAGGGGGGUGGAAUUCCUGGUGUAGCAGUGAAAUGCGUAGAGAUCAGGAGGAACACCGAUGGCGAAGGCAGCCCCCUGGGCCUGUACUGACGCUCAUGCACGAAAGCGUGGGGAGCAAACAGGAUUAGAUACCCUGGUAGUCCACGCCCUAAACGAUGUCGACUAGUCGUUCGGAGCAGCAAUGCACUGAGUGACGCAGCUAACGCGUGAAGUCGACCGCCUGGGGAGUACGGCCGCAAGGUUAAAACUCAAAGGAAUUGACGGGGACCCGCACAAGCGGUGGAUGAUGUGGAUUAAUUCGAUGCAACGCGAAAAACCUUACCUACCC